AGAAUCAACGCUGGCGGCGUGCCUAACACAUGCAAGUCGAACGAGAAAGGGGAGCAAUCCCUGAGUAAAGUGGCGCACGGGUGAGUAACACGUGACUAACCUACCCUGGAGUGGGGGAUAACUGAGGGAAACCUUAGCUAAUACCGCAUAAUACCUACGGGUCAAAGGAGCAAUUCGCUUCAGGAGGGGGUCGCGGCCGAUUAGUUAGUUGGCGGGGUAAUGGCCCACCAAGACGAUGAUCGGUAUCCGGCCUGAGAGGGCGCACGGACACACUGGAACUGAAACACGGUCCAGACUCCUACGGGAGGCAGCAGUGGGGAAUUUUGCGCAAUGGGGAAACCUGACGCAGCAACGCCGCGUGGAGGAUGAAGUACUUCGGUACGUAAACUCCUUUCGAUCGGGACGAUAAUGACGGUACCGGAAGAAGAGCCCGGCUAACUUCGCGCCAGCAGCCGC
RNAcentral lists this ribosomal RNA (456 nucleotides) under uncultured bacterium. Its description in RNAcentral is "SSU rRNA". It matches the Rfam family "Bacterial small subunit ribosomal RNA", at positions 26 to 518 of the family's 1533-position model. The record is from RNAcentral.